RNAcentral lists this ribosomal RNA (515 nucleotides) under uncultured bacterium. RNAcentral describes it as "partial 16S ribosomal RNA". It matches the Rfam family "Bacterial small subunit ribosomal RNA", at positions 28 to 523 of the family's 1533-position model. The record is from RNAcentral.
GAUGAACGCUGGCGGCGUGCCUAAUACAUGCAAGUCGAGCGAAUGGAUUAAGAGCUUGCUCUUAUGAAGUUAGCGGCGGACGGGUGAGUAACACGUGGGUAACCUGCCCAUAAGACUGGGAUAACUCCGGGAAACCGGGGCUAAUACCGGAUAACAUUUUGAACCGCAUGGUUCGAAAUUGAAAGGCGGCUUCGGCUGUCACUUAUGGAUGGACCCGCGUCGCAUUAGCUAGUUGGUGAGGUAACGGCUCACCAAGGCAACGAUGCGUAGCCGACCUGGGAGGGUGAUCGGCCACACUGGGACUGAGACACGGCCCAGAUUCCUACGGGAGGCAGCAGUAAGGAAUCUUCCGCAAUGGACGAAAGUCUGACGGAGCAACGCCGCGUGAGUGAUGAAGGCUUUCGGGUCGUAAAACUCUGUUGUUAGGGAAGAACAAGUGCUAGUUGAAUAAGCUGGCACCUUGACGGUACCUAACCAGAAAGCCACGGCUAACUACGUGCCAGCCGCCGCCGUAA